RNAcentral lists this ribosomal RNA (790 nucleotides) under uncultured bacterium. RNAcentral describes it as "bacterial SSU rRNA". It matches the Rfam family "Bacterial small subunit ribosomal RNA", at positions 8 to 796 of the family's 1533-position model. The record is from RNAcentral.
AGAGUUUGAUCAUGGCUCAGAUUGAACGCUGGCGGCAUGCCUUACACAUGCAAGUCGAACGCGAAAGGGGGCAACCCCGAGUAGAGUGGCGAACGGGUGAGCAAUACAUCGGAACGUGUCCUGUAGCGGGGGACAACCUCGAGAAAUCGAGGCUAAUACCGCAUACGAUCUACGGAUGAAAGUGGGGGACCGCAAGGCCCCACACUAUAGGAGCGGCCGAUGCCGGAUUAGCUAGUUGGUGGGGUAAAAGCCUACCAAGGCGACGAUCCGUAGCUGGUUUGAGAGAACGACCAGCCACACUGGGACUGAGACACGGCCCAGACUCCUACGGGAGGCAGCAGUGGGGAAUUUUGGACAAUGGGCGAAAGCCUGAUCCAGCCAUGCCGCGUGAGUGAAGAAGGCCUUCGGGUUGUAAAGCUCUUUCGGCGGGGACGAAAUUGCGCGGGGUAACAUCCCGCGUAGAUGACGGUACCCGAAGAAGAAGGACCGGCUAACUACGUGCCAGCAGCCGCGGUAAUACGUAGGGUCCAAGCGUUAAUCGGAAUUACUGGGCGUAAAGCGUGCGUAGGCGGUCUCGCAAGUCCGAUGUGAAAUCCCCGAGCUUAACUUGGGAACUGCGUUGGAAACUAUGAGGCUAGAGUGCGGCAGAGGGGGGUGGAAUUCCAGGUGUAGCAGUGAAAUGCGUAGAGAUCUGGAGGAACACCGAUGGCGAAGGCAGCCCCCUGGGUUAGCACUGACGCUCAUACACGAAAGCGUGGGGAGCAAACAGGAUUAGAUACCCUAGUAGUCC